This is a non-coding RNA of Macaca mulatta (Rhesus monkey), 439 nucleotides long. The record is from RefSeq and is a predicted model, not a curated record. NCBI's taxonomy places the organism in Eukaryota, Metazoa, Chordata, Mammalia, Primates, Cercopithecidae.
AAUCUCUACAAAUAAUCCAGUGAAGGAACACCAGAGCGUGGAAAGCUGAGGACGACCGACAAAGGACUCCCGAACAAGUAUUCUCCUUGGUUCCUGGAAUAUGGAAUCAUGAAUGUAGAAGAUUGGAACAAGGUCGGAUCAGACUUAAAAUGAGCACAAGAAGAGGGCCGCGAUAUUCCCGUCUCUGCUUGGUCUGUGUGGUCUGCAAUUAAAACAGCCCUGGAGCCCUUCCACACUGAGGAGGAGAAGGAGGAUUUUCAGGAUGACAUAGGAAAGUUGAGUAAUCAGGAGUCUAAUUAUCAGCUAAGUGAACCAUGACAGUCUCGUUUAAAAAAGGGCGAGAAACGGGAAGGUGAAUAAGAAAAUGGAGUUGCAUAGAAAUCUCCUUUGCAAAAGAAUUCCAAAUAAUUGAUGUAGACACUCAGCCAUCAAAAUGUGG